RNAcentral lists this unclassified non-coding RNA (347 nucleotides) under soil metagenome. RNAcentral describes it as "partial contains 5.8S ribosomal RNA, internal transcribed spacer 2, and large subunit ribosomal RNA". The stretch from base 1 to 120 matches the Rfam family "5.8S ribosomal RNA", at positions 35 to 154 of the family's 154-position model. The record is from RNAcentral.
GAUGAAGAACGUAGCGAAAUGCGAAAAGUAAUGUGAAUUGCAGAAUUCAGUGAAUCAUCGAAUCUUUGAACGCACAUUGCGCCCGCCAGUAUUCUGGCGGGCAUGCCUGUCUGAGCGUCAUUUCAACCCUCAUGCCCCUAGGGCGUGGUGUUGGGGAUCGGCCAGCGCCCGCGAGGGACGGCCGGCCCCUAAAUCUAGUGGCGGACCCGUCGUGGCCUCCCCUGCGAAGUAGUGAUAUUCCGCAUAGGAGAGCGACGAGCCCCUGCCGUUAAACCCCCAACUUUCUAAGGUUGACCUCAGAUCAGGUAGGAAUACCCGCUGAACUUAAGCAUAUCAAAAGCGGAGGA